RNAcentral lists this RNase P RNA (362 nucleotides) under Pseudobdellovibrionaceae bacterium. RNAcentral describes it as "Bdellovibrionaceae bacterium (bioreactor metagenome) RNase P RNA component class A". It matches the Rfam family "Bacterial RNase P class A". From Rfam's summary of the family: Ribonuclease P (RNase P) is a ubiquitous endoribonuclease, found in archaea, bacteria and eukarya as well as chloroplasts and mitochondria. Its best characterised activity is the generation of mature 5'-ends of tRNAs by cleaving the 5'-leader elements of precursor-tRNAs. Lineage: Bacteria; Pseudomonadati; Bdellovibrionota; Bdellovibrionia; Bdellovibrionales; Pseudobdellovibrionaceae. The record is from RNAcentral.
CAGGUUUUGCGGAUGAUUGCUCUGCUGAAAAGCAGAGAGGAAAGUCCGGACUUCAUUGAGCAGUGCAAAGGGUAACGCCCUUCCGUCGUAAGGCGAGGAACAGUGGAACAGAAAGAAUAUCCAGGGCAUCGAUCUAGAAAGCGGGAACGGGAGCUUUUUAGGGAGCUGCUGGAGUGAAAACAGCUAAACUCUGCACGAAGCAAGAUCAAAUAGGGAAGCGCUUUAGUUCGGCUCUGACGAGCUUCCGGGUAGGAUCGCUAGAGGGUUUCGGUAACGAAACUCCCAGAUAAAUAGUCAUACAUGAGGCUAGGUUUAGGGACCUAGUUUCAAGACAGAAUCCGGCUUAUAGCAAAACCAAACUC